UACGUAGGGUGCAAGCGUUGUCCGGAAUCAUUGGGCGUAAAGCGCGCGUAGGCGGCCCGAUAAGUCCGCUGUAAAAGUCAACGGCUCAACUGUUGAAAGCCGGUGGAUACUGUCGGGCUAGAGUACGGAAGAGGCAAGUGGAAUUCCUGGUGUAGCGGUGGAAUGCGUAGAUAUCUGGAGGAACACCGGUGGCGAAGGCGGCAUCCUGGGCCGGUAUUGACGCUGAGGAGCGAAAGCCAGGGGAGCAAACGGG
RNAcentral lists this ribosomal RNA (253 nucleotides) under uncultured bacterium. Its description in RNAcentral is "partial 16S ribosomal RNA". It matches the Rfam family "Bacterial small subunit ribosomal RNA", at positions 524 to 776 of the family's 1533-position model. The record is from RNAcentral.